Molecule: ribosomal RNA, 353 nt
Filed under: uncultured soil bacterium
Lineage: Bacteria
Description: bacterial SSU rRNA
Rfam family: Bacterial small subunit ribosomal RNA
Source: RNAcentral
AGAUUGAACGCUGGCGGCAGGCCUAACACAUGCAAGUCGAGCGGUAGAGAGGUGCUUGCAUCUCUUGAGAGCGGCGGACGGGUGAGUAAUGCCUAGGAAUCUGCCUAGUGGUGGGGGAUAACGUUCGGAAACGGACGCUAAUACCGCAUACGUCCUACGGGAGAAAGCGGGGGACCUUCGGGCCUCGCGCCAUUAGAUGAGCCUAGGUCGGAUUAGCUAGUUGGUGAGGUAAUGGCUCACCAAGGCGACGAUCCGUAACUGGUCUGAGAGGAUGAUCAGUCACACUGGAACUGAGACACGGUCCAGACUCCUACGGGAGCAGCAGUGGGAAUAUUGACAAUGGGACGAAAGCC